Molecule: ribosomal RNA, 446 nt
Filed under: uncultured bacterium
Lineage: Bacteria
Description: bacterial SSU rRNA
Rfam family: Bacterial small subunit ribosomal RNA
Source: RNAcentral
AGCCAGACUCCUACGGGAGGCAGCAGUGGGGAAUAUUGCACAAUGGGGGAAACCCUGAUGCAGCGACGCCGCGUGAGUGAAGAAGUAUUUCGGUAUGUAAAGCUCUAUCAGCAGGGAAGAAAAUGACGGUACCUGACCAAGAAGCCCCGGCUAACUACGUGCCAGCAGCCGCGGUAAUACGUAGGGGGCAAGCGUUAUCCGGAUUUACUGGGUGUAAAGGGAGCGUAGACGGCUGAGCAAGUCAGAAGUGAAAGCCCGGGGCUCAACCCCGGGACUGCUUUUGAAACUGCGGAGCUGGAGUGCAGGAGAGGUAAGCGGAAUUCCUGGUGUAGCGGUGAAAUGCGUAGAUAUCAGGAGGAACACCAGUGGCGAAGGCGGCUUACUGGACUGUAACUGACGUUGAGGCUCGAAAGCGUGGGGAGCAAACAGGAUUAGAUACCCCAGUA